UGGGAUUACAAGCGUGAGCCACCACACCCGGCCCACUAAUCUACUUUAAUAUAAUUAACAUGUUCCUCUAGUCCUAGGGAGAAUGAGCCUGAUGACUUUACCAUUUUCCACCUCUAAGAGCCAAUCGCAAAGGAGGCUGGCUGGCAUCUUGUGUCUGUCUAGCAUCUCUACCAGUUUCUGUAGAAAACCCUCAAGCUGUGCCAAGACGAUCAUGUCUGGACACAGCUCUUGGUGUCACGGGGUGUCUCCUCCUACUGCCUAUCGCCCUUUGCAGCCACCAGAAUAAUCAUGCAGGAGCCAGGGCCCCAUAUUAUCUACCGCUGUCCAUCUGCUCUCCAGCACAUCAGAGCAGCCCUUCCCCUGUGUGAGAUUCCUCUCCAGGGCAAGACUUGAAGGGAGCAUCAAGGUUGCAGUGGAAGAAAUAAAUUGGAAGUGGAGCUGGGCAGUUAUUUAUUUAUUUAAAUAGAGACAAGGCCGAAUGCGAUGGCUCACACCCGUAAUCCCAGCACUUUAGGAGGCCGAGGUGGGUAGACGACCUGAGGUCAGGAGUUCAAGACCAGCCUGAUCAACAUGGCGAAAUCCCGUCUCUACUAAAACUACAAAAAUUACCUGGGCACGGUGACACGCACCUGUAGUCCCAGCUACUCAGGAGGCUGAGGCACAAGAAUUGCUUGAACCUGGGAGGCCAAAAUUGCAGUGAGCCAAGAUUGCACUACUGCACUCCAGCCUGGGCGACAGAGCCAGA
Molecule: long non-coding RNA, 745 nt
Filed under: Homo sapiens (human)
Lineage: Eukaryota; Metazoa; Chordata; Mammalia; Primates; Hominidae
Description: non-protein coding CSE1L-AS1:5
Source: RNAcentral